UACGUAGGGGCCAAGCGUUGUCCGGAUUUAUUGGGCGUAAAGAGCUCGUAGGCGGUUCGGCAAGUCAGCUGUGAAAUCUCCACGCUCAACGUGGAGGGGUCAGCUGAUACUGCUGUGACUUGAGUCCGGUAGGGGAGUGUGGAAUUCCCGGUGUAGCGGUGAAAUGCGCAGAUAUCAGGAAGAACACCCGUGGCGAAGGCGGCUCUCUGGGACGGUACUGACGCUGAGACGCGAAAGCGUGGGGAGCGAACAGG
This 254-nucleotide ribosomal RNA is filed under the name uncultured bacterium. Its description in RNAcentral is "partial 16S ribosomal RNA". It matches the Rfam family "Bacterial small subunit ribosomal RNA", at positions 524 to 776 of the family's 1533-position model. The record is from RNAcentral.